RNAcentral lists this ribosomal RNA (497 nucleotides) under uncultured bacterium. RNAcentral describes it as "partial 16S ribosomal RNA". It matches the Rfam family "Bacterial small subunit ribosomal RNA", at positions 28 to 507 of the family's 1533-position model. The record is from RNAcentral.
GAUGAACGCUGGCGGCGUGCCUAAUACAUGCAAGUCGAGCGAACAGACGAGGAGCUUGCUCCUCUGACGUUAGCGGCGGACGGGUGAGUAACACGUGGAUAACCUACCUAUAAGACUGGGAUAACUUCGGGAAACCGGAGCUAAUACCGGAUAAUAUAUUGAACCGCAUGGUUCAAUAGUGAAAUACGGUUUUGCUGUCACUUAUAGAUGGAUCCGCGCCGCAUUAGCUAGUUGGUAAGGUAACGGCUUACCAAGGCAACGAUGCGUAGCCGACCUGAGAGGGUGAUCGGCCACACUGGAACGGAGACACGGUCCAGACUCCUACGGGAGGCAGCAGUAGGGAAUCUUACGCAAUGGGCGAAAGCCUGACGGAGCAACGCCGCGUGAGUGAUGAAGGUCUUCGGAUCGUAAAACUCUGUUAUUAGGGAAGAACAAAUGUGUAAGUAACUAUGCACGUCUUGACGGUACCUAAUCAGAAAGCCACGGCUAACUACGUG